This 468-nucleotide ribosomal RNA is filed under the name uncultured bacterium. RNAcentral's name for it is "partial 16S ribosomal RNA". It matches the Rfam family "Bacterial small subunit ribosomal RNA", at positions 28 to 507 of the family's 1533-position model. The record is from RNAcentral.
GACGAACGCUGGCGGCGUGCUUAACACAUGCAAGUCGAACGGAAAGGCCCUGCUUUUGUGGGGUGCUCGAGUGGCGAACGGGUGAGUAACACGUGAGUAACCUGCCCUUGACUUUGGGAUAACUUCAGGAAACUGGGGCUAAUACCGGAUAGGAGCUCCUGCUGCAUGGUGGGGGUUGGAAAGUUUCGGCGGUUGGGGAUGGACUCGCGGCUUAUCAGCUUGUUGGUGGGGUAGUGGCUUACCAAGGCUUUGACGGGUAGCCGGCCUGAGAGGGUGACCGGCCACAUUGGGACUGAGAUACGGCCCAGCCUCCUACGGGAGGCAGCAGUGGGGAAUAUUGCACAAUGGGCGGAAGCCUGAUGCAGCAACGCCGCGUGCGGGAUGACGUCCUUCGGGUUGUAAACCGCUUUCGCCUGUGACGAAGCGUGAGUGACGGUAAUGGGUAAAGAAGCACCGGCUAACUACGUG